This 243-nucleotide long non-coding RNA is filed under the name Mytilus galloprovincialis (Mediterranean mussel). The record is from RNAcentral. Lineage: Eukaryota; Metazoa; Mollusca; Bivalvia; Mytilida; Mytilidae.
CCAUUUUUCACAGAGUACAACUUUCGUGCUUGCAUUAGCCGUAUUAGCCCGCCGUAUUGUUAUUGCUUUGGAAAUUGAAGUGCUAAAGAUAUUUUUGGCAAAUGUAAUAUUCUUAGGUUGUUUUUUUUUUUUUUUAUCAUAAAAGAUAUACCUUGUUCUGCGUCCAUAUGUAAUAAAUGGUGGACACAGAUAUAUGUCUCGUUUUUUUUUCUCCUUCUUCAGUUUUUAUAGUUAUUGCAAAUU